UUCGGAUUGACUCUGUUGACAGUUGGUUUGACUUGGCAUUAUAAGUUAUUUUGCUGAGGACAUCUUUACGGAUGGCCAACUUGUUGACUCUGUCUUGUGCAGCUUGUGGUUACACUUGGCUGUGCGCAACAUCUUUUGACAUCUGGCCUCAAAUCAGGUAGGACUACCCGCUGAACUUAAGCAUAUCAAUAAGCGGAGGAAAAGAAACUAACAAGGAUUCCCCUAGUAACGGCGAGUGAAGCGGGAAGAGCUCAAAUUUGAAAUCUGGCUGCCUUCGGUGGUCCGAGUUGUAAUCUAGAGAAGUGUUUUCCGUGCUGGCCCAUGUACAAGUCCCUUGGAACAGGGCGUCAUAGAGGGUGAGAAUCCCGUACUUGACAUGGACUCCCAGUGCUCUGUGAUACAUUUUCAAAGAGUCGAGUUGUUUGGGAAUGCAGCUCAAAAUGGGUGGUAAAUUCCAUCUAAAGCUAAAUAUUGGCGAGAGACCGAUAGCGAACAAGUACCGUGAGGGAAAGAUGAAAAGCACUUUGGAAAGAGAGUUAAACAGUAUGUGAAAUUGUUAAAAGGGAAACGAUUGAAGUCAGUCGUGCGUUUUGGACUCAGCCAGUUCUUCUGGUGUACUUCCAUUUCGCGGGGUCAACAUCAGUUUUGCUCGGUGGAAAAGGGCUGGAGGAAGGUAGCACUCUCGGGUGAACUUAUAGCCUCCUGUCGCAUACACCGGGUGGGACUGAGGAACGCAGCAUGCCUUUUGGCCGGGGUUCGCCCACGUACAUGCUAG
Molecule: ribosomal RNA, 775 nt
Filed under: Cryptococcus sp. 1 AP-2015
Lineage: Eukaryota; Fungi; Basidiomycota; Tremellomycetes; Tremellales; Cryptococcaceae
Description: eukaryotic LSU rRNA
Rfam family: Eukaryotic large subunit ribosomal RNA (bases 144-775)
Source: RNAcentral